RNAcentral lists this long non-coding RNA (489 nucleotides) under Pan troglodytes (chimpanzee). RNAcentral's name for it is "lincRNA". Lineage: Eukaryota; Metazoa; Chordata; Mammalia; Primates; Hominidae. The record is from RNAcentral.
AAACUGGGGGUUUCUCUUCAAAGCCAGCUGGUCUGGCUUUAUUCUACAGGAAUUUUUUUUACCUGUCAGGGUUUGGACAACAAAGCCCUCAGCAGGUGCUGACGGGUACAACUUCCUGGAGAAGCAGAAAGGCACUGAGAAAACAUCUUGCUCUGUUGCUCAGGCUGGAGCGCAAUGGUGCCAUCGUAGCUUACUGUAACCUUGAACGUCUGUGCUCAAGCAAUCUUCCUGCCUCAGCCUCCUGAGUAGCUGGGACUACAGAGACAGGGUCUUGUUCUAUUGUCCAAGCUGGUCUUGAAUUCCUGACCUCAAGCAAUCCUCCUGCCUCUGCCUCCCAAAGCACUGGGAUUAUUACAGGUAUGAGCCACCGUGCUGGGCCAUCAUGCUUACUCUUCGGAGGGAGAAGUGAAGUAUCUGAACGCCUCAGCCUGAGAAUGGGUCAUUUGCAAAGUAAAUAAAGGCAAAGCCAAAUGUCAGCACAACAAGCAA